This is a non-coding RNA of Saimiri boliviensis boliviensis (Bolivian squirrel monkey), 6672 nucleotides long. Lineage: Eukaryota; Metazoa; Chordata; Mammalia; Primates; Cebidae. The record is from RefSeq and is a predicted model, not a curated record.
GGCUCGGCGUCGCCUGGGCGCUGCUGGCGGCCGCGGCCCUGGGGCUCGGGGCGCGCGGGGUGCGCGGCGCGGUGGCGCUCGCCGACUUCUACCCGUUUGGCGCGGAGCGCGGCGACGCCGUCACCCCCAAGCAGGACGACGGCGGCUCGGGGCUGCGGCCGCUCUCGGGGCCCUUCCCCUUCUUCGGCGCGCGGCACUCCGGGCUCUUCGUAAACAACAAUGGGAUCAUCUCCUUCCUGAAGGAGGUUUCUCAGUUCACCCCAGUGGCCUUCCCCAUCGCCAAGGACCGCUGCGUGGUGGCGGCCUUCUGGGCAGAUGUGGACAACCGGCGUGCAGGCGACGUGUACUACCGGGAGGCCACCGACCCAGCCACGCUGCACCGAGCCACGGAGGAUGUCAGGCGCUACUUCCCUGAGCUCCCGGACUUCUCCGCCACCUGGGUUUUUGUUGCCACCUGGUACCGAGUGACCUUCUUUGGCGGCAGUUCUUCAUCCCCCGUCAACACGUUCCAGACUGUGCUCAUCACAGACGGCAAGCUCUCCUUCACCAUCUUCAACUACGAGUCCAUCACGUGGACCACAGGCACACACGCCAGCAGCGGGGGCAACGCCACGGGCCUGGGGGGCAUCGCAGCCCAGGCUGGCUUCAACGCAGGCGACGGGCAGCGCUACUUCAGUAUCCCCGGCUCGCGCACAGCAGACAUGGCCGACGUGGAGACCACCACCAACGUGGGCGUGCCCGGGCGCUGGGCGUUCAGAAUCGAUGAUGCCCAGGUGCGCGUGGGGGGCUGCGCCCAUACAACCUCCGUGUGCCUGGCCCUGCGCCCCUGCCUCAACGGCGGCAGGUGCAUCGAGGACUGUGUCCCGGGCGACCCCUCCUACACCUGCUCCUGCCUCUCGGGCUUCACUGGGCGGAGGUGCCACCUGGACGUGAACGAAUGUGCCUCCCAGCCCUGUCAGAACGGCGGGACCUGCGCUCACGGCAUCAACAGCUUCAGCUGCCAGUGCCCGGCUGGCUUCGGGGGACCUACCUGUGAGACAGUGUCCCGUCUACACCUCUUCACUCUAGCCCAGUCCCCCUGUGACACCAAAGAGUGUCACAAUGGUGGCCAGUGCCGGGUGGAGAGGGGCUCUGCGGUGUGCGCGUGCCAGGCUGGAUACACCGGAGCUGCCUGCGAGACAGAUGUGGAUGACUGCAGCUCUGGGCCCUGCCUGAACGGAGGCUCCUGUGUCGACCUCGUGGGGAAUUACACCUGCUUGUGUGCAGAGCCCUUCACGGGACCUCACUGCGAGACAGGAGACCACCCAGUUCCCGACGCCUGCCUCUCGGCCCCCUGCCACAAUGGGGGCACCUGUGUGGACGCGGACCAGGGCUACGUGUGCGAGUGCCCCGAAGGCUUCAUGGGCCUGGACUGCAGGGAGAGAACCUCCAGUGGCUGCGAGUGCCGCAAUGGAGGCAGAUGCGUGGGCACCAACACCACCCUCUGCCAGUGUCCCCCGGGAUUCUUUGGGCUCCUCUGUGAAUUUGAAAUCACAGCCAUGCCCUGCAACAUGAACACACAGUGCCCAGAUGGGGGCUACUGCAUGGAGCACGGUGGGAGAUACCUCUGCGUCUGCCACACCGACCACAAUGCCAGCCACUCGCUGCCAUCGCCCUGCGACUCGGACCCCUGCUUCAACGGAGGCUCCUGCGACGCCCGUGACGACUCCUACACCUGCGAGUGCCCGCGCGGGUUCCACGGCAAGCACUGCGAGAAAGCCCGGCCACACCUGUGCAGCUCAGGGCCCUGCCGGAACGGGGGCACCUGCAAGGAGGCGGGCAGUGAGUACCACUGCAGCUGCCCCUACCGCUUCACCGGGAGGCACUGUGAGAUAGGGAAGCCAGACUCAUGUGCCUCUGGCCCCUGUCACAACGGUGGCACCUGCUUCCACUACAUUGGCAAAUACAAAUGUGACUGUCCCCCAGGCUUCUCCGGGCGGCACUGCGAGAUAGCCCCCUCUCCCUGCUUCCGGAGCCCGUGUAUGAAUGGGGGCACCUGCGAAGACCGAGGCGCGGACUUCUUCUGCCACUGCCAAGCUGGGUACAUGGGACGCCGGUGCCAGGCAGAGGUGGACUGCGGCCCCCCAGAGGAGGUGAAGCACGCCACGCUGCGCUUCGACGGCACGCGGCUGGGCGCAGUGGCCCUGUACGCGUGUGACCGCGGCUACAGCCUGAGCGCCCCCAGCCGCAUCCGGGUGUGCCAGCCGCAGGGUGUCUGGAGUGAGCCUCCCCAGUGCCUCGAAAUUGACGAGUGCCGGUCACAGCCGUGCCUGCACGGAGGCUCCUGCCAGGAUCGCGUGGCCGGGUACCGGUGCCUCUGCAGCGCGGGCUAUGAUGGCGCCCACUGCGAGCUGGAGAGGGAUGAGUGCCGAGCUCAGCCCUGCAGAAACGGAGGCUCCUGCAGGAACCUCCCGGGGGCCUUUGUCUGCCAGUGCCCUGCAGGCUUCACUGGAGUCCGCUGUGAGACAGAGGUGGAUGCCUGCGACUCCAGCCCCUGCCAGCACGGAGGCCGGUGCGAGAGCGGCGGCGGGGCCUACCUGUGCGUCUGCCCGGAAGGCUUCUUCGGCUACCACUGCGAGACAGUGAGCGACCCCUGCUUCUCCAGCCCCUGUGGGGGCCGCGGCUACUGCCUGGUCACCAAUGGCUCCCACAGCUGCACCUGCAAAGUGGGCUACACGGGCAAGGACUGCGCCAAAGAGCUCCUCCCACCGACGGCCCUCAAGAUGGACAGAGUGGAGGAGAGUGGGGUCUCCAUCUCCUGGAACCCGCCCGAUGGCCUAGCGGCCAGGCAGAUGCUGGACGGCUACGCGGUCACGUACGUCUCCUCCGACGGCGCCUACCGCCGCACGGACUUCGUGGACAGGAGCCGCUCCUCACACCAGCUCCGGGCCCUGGCGGCCGGCAAGGCCUACAACAUCUCCGUCUUCUCGGUCAAGCGCAACACCAACAACAAGAAUGACAUCAGCAGGCCUGCGGUGCUGCUGGCCCGCACGCGACCCCGCCCUGUGGACACCUUCGAGGUCACCAAUGUGACGGCCAGCACCAUCUCGGUGCAGUGGGCCCUGCACAGGAUCCACCACGCCACCGUCAGUGGGGUCCGUGUGUCCAUCCGCCACCCUGAGGCCCUCGGAGACCAGGCCACCGACGUGGACAGGAGUGUGGACAGGUUCACCUUUGGGGCCCUGCUGCCCGGGAGGAGGUACACCAUCCAGCUGACCACCCUCAGUGGGCUCCGGGGAGAGGAGCACCCCACGGAGAGCCUGGCCACUGCACUAGCACACGUGUGGACCCGGCCCCUGCCUCCAGCAAACCUGACGGCCGCCCGAGUCACGGCCACCUCCGCCCACGUGGUCUGGGACGCCCCAACUCCAGGCAGCCCGCUGGAGGCUUAUGUCAUCAACGUGACCACCAGCCAGAGCGCCAAGAGCCGCUACGUCCCCAGUGGGAAGCUGGCGUCCUACACGCUGCGGGACCUGCUGCCAGGGCAGCGGUACCAGCUGUCGGUGACGGCAGUGCAGAGCACGGAGCAGGGGCCACUGCACAGCGAGCCUGCCCGCCUGUACAUCAUCACCUCCCCCAGCGAUGGCACCGACAGGCGCUGGCAUCAGGGAGGACAGCACCCUCGAGUGCUCAGGAACAGACCACCCCCAGCACGCCUGCCGGAACUGCGCCUGCUCAAUGACCACAGUGCCCCCGAGACCCCCACCCAGCCCCCCAGGUUCUCGGAGCUUGUGGACGGCAGAGGAAGAGUGAGUGCCAGGUUCGGCGGCUCCCCCAGCAAAGCAGCCACCGUGAGACCACGGACUUUCUUGCUCUUAAGGUAUGGAAGUGCUCAGACGGGUGGCCCCAGGACCAUCCUGGGUGCAAAGCAGCCGUGCGGUGUGGUCACCACCUGGCUUCUCCUAGAACCCACAGCCAUGGCGCAGCUCGAGAACACGGAGGAUGCCCCCAGGCAGGUCAGCCUGGCCCUCCAGCUCCCUGAACAUGGCCACAAGGACAUGGAAAACGCCCCUGGGAACUGUUCAGAAAACCCCUGCCAGAACGGAGGCACCUGCGUACCUGGCACGGACGCCCACAGCUGUGACUGCGGGCCAGGGUUCAAAGGCAGACGCUGUGAGCUCGCCUGUACAAAGGUGUCCCGCCCCUGCACGAGGCUGUUCUCCGAGACCAAGUCCUUUCCCGUCUGGGAGGGAGGCGUCUGUCACCACGUGUAUAAACGAGUCUACAGAGUUCACCAAGACAUCUGCUUCAAAGAGAGCUGUGAAAGCACAAGCAUCAAGAAAGCCCCAAACAGGUGCCUCCGGGGAGCAGGCCAGGCUGUGCCCUGCAUGUGGUUCACAGGGUGACGGGCAGAGGUGGCAGGUGCUGUGGCUGCUGCAGGCUUGAGGGCUGAGCCAAGCGGGCUGCUUCCGAGAGGCAGCCCCUGGGCAGCCGUGUUCUGCUACGAAACUUAUGUCCAUAUAUGUGCAUGUGGGUGCACAGAGAGGCGCAGCCAGGCAUGCUGGGUGUUCAGGAGGCCACAUGCUGGGUACUGGGUGGUCACCCGGGUUCUGCAUAUUCACACAGAACAUGUGCUACAGUUGGGAGGCACGGGGGGUUACUGACAGCCCCGAGUAUUUAACGGCGCUGUUUACUUUUUAUUCACUCACACCCACCCAGGUUCUUUCCCGAAGGGUUCAAGGUAGUUAAUUACUCCUGUCUGGAGUUUACUGAAAGAAGUGCCUGAGAACAUUGUAUCUUUCAGAAUCAGAGCUGAAACCUGUCAUCGUCCGCACAGACCCACAGGUGGCCACACACACGUGUUUCGCACUCCCAGUGUCAGGCAGGGCCCCAGCCUGCAGCUCACCAGCCGUGCUGCCCGGCCUGCGCGUGUCACCCAGCUCUUCCCUAGGGUGGCUUUUGCUUGCUUUCUCCCACGUCCGUCCUUCUCUUUCUGACUCACAUCCAGCUAGGUUUCUAGCCUUCUCAUUCCACAACUACGGUCUCAAGCCAGGUGGGUGCACACAAACUGAAAUGCUCAUCUCCACAUCAGUGUCUGGACUCACAGUGUCCCUCACCCUGAAACGUCCGUGAGCUAAAGGCAGGGUUUCAGCAGGUACCCUGGACUGAGGUAGCUGUAGAAUUCAAGGUACACAGUCUCUUUGUCAUUAAAUGACUUUUCUCUAUUUCAGGAAACAAAGUAAGAGUCAGACACUGGAGAAAUCUUAAGAGGAUUUAAGACGUUUUUGUUACACUCCACCAACCUCAAAAGUUUCUAAAGCCCAGGAAGAUGAGGUCUCAAAACUGGAUGAAAAAGGACACCCUGAGAGAAAAGGUCCCAGCUGGAGUCAGUCCCCUCUCUGACCGUCCUCCUCAGGCCUCUAGAAGCCGGAGGGCCAGGCCUGUGCGUGCGCCAGCCCACCCUGAGACCCGGCUCUGGGACCAGCCACCUGGGAGUCCUGCGAAGCACUUCAGCGGUCUGUGCUCUCACCCAGGCUGCAGUUCCUGAAGGUGUGGUCCAUACCUCUGCGAAUGAGAUGACAGCCACCGUUCCCCAGGGUCAGCGAGGCCGUCAGCCACACUCUGCAGUACUCAGAAACCUGUUCUUUGACUCCAAAGCCAGAGAAAGAAUUCUCCCUUUGAGGCCUAACAAAUUGAGAAGGAACCAUGAUGGACAGCUUCCAAAACAGACGGGGCAGGGGCCAAAAAGCAGACACCAGGCGAUGCUGGAAGGAAAGCUGAGGUGCAGACACAGCCACCGUGCUCUGCUCCUCCAGCAUGUUUCUGAUGCUUGUGCAGGGCGACGAGCCAUCGUAUGGACUAGUAGAGGAAAUGUUAACAUAAGGUGGAGUUCAGACACUUUUCAUCUAUAGUGGUGCUGGCAGCCUUUCUCUGUAAAGGGUCAGAUGGUAAAUAUUUUCAGCUCUGCAGACCAGAGGUCCCUGUGGCUACAGCAGCACAGCCACAGCCACAGGCAUGUAUUGAAUGGCUGUGUUCCAAUAAAAAUCUACUUACAAUAACAGUCAGUGGCCAAGUUGGCCCAUGGGCCAUAUUUGGUGAACCCUGUUCUAUGAGAUCAUCUCAGCUUCAGCCUUAAACAGUGGAAGCCAUCCCCUGAAUGGCAAGUCACAAAGGCAUCAAAGACCCCUGAAUUUUCAUGGAAAAAAGCAAUCGAGCCCCCUACUUGGAAAGCUGAGGCACACAGCGCGAAGCAUCAAGGACUCCGCACGAGCCUCAGCGCAGCAGGGAUGGAUGCCUGGGCUGACUGCACAGCGUUUAAGUUCCUUCAGUCCGUGACUCAAGAAAUGCCGUGUCGGGCUAUCAGGUAGUCAGCACCAUCUUAGACCUCCCCAUCUUCAGAAGCAGGACAGGGCAUCACCUCACCACAUCUGCUUCCCACCAUGCUUCUAGGCAGCUGUCUUCCCCCUGCUAAUGUUACAACCAGAGAAGCCAGUCCCACCUCCUCGCGAGCUGAGCCUCAUGAGAGCUGACCUAGCUGGAAAGCACCCUGCCGCGUCUCCCGGACUCUGCUCAGAGCCAGCAUUCCAGCCACAGAAAGGGCCUCCUUCCUUUUGUCUUUUAAAAACAUGUUUUUUUAAGAGUUAAGAGUAUAUUUUAGGCUUUUUCUCUUUAUUAAAAUUUCAUGUGCAUCUG